CACCGAAGUCAAGCAUCAUCGGGCGCGGUCAGUACUUGGGAGGGUGACCACCUGGGAACACCGCGUGCCGUUG
RNAcentral lists this ribosomal RNA (73 nucleotides) under Caerostris darwini. Lineage: Eukaryota; Metazoa; Arthropoda; Arachnida; Araneae; Araneidae. The record is from RNAcentral.